UAAGAUGAGUUCUGGUGGUUGCUGUAGU
RNAcentral lists this non-coding RNA (28 nucleotides) under Homo sapiens (human). The record is from RNAcentral. Lineage: Eukaryota; Metazoa; Chordata; Mammalia; Primates; Hominidae.